RNAcentral lists this ribosomal RNA (402 nucleotides) under uncultured bacterium. RNAcentral describes it as "bacterial SSU rRNA". It matches the Rfam family "Bacterial small subunit ribosomal RNA", at positions 355 to 774 of the family's 1533-position model. The record is from RNAcentral.
UCGGGAAUUUUGGGCAAUGGGCGAAAGCCUGACCCAGCAACGCCGCGUGAGGGAUGAAGUAUUUCGGUAUGUAAACCUCGAAAGAAUGGGAAGAAUAAAUGACGGUACCAUUUAUAAGCUCCGGCUAACUACGUGCCAGCAGCCGCGGUAAUACGUAGGGAGCAAGCGUUGUUCGGAUUUACUGGGCGUAAAGGGCGCGUAGGCGGCGCGGUAAGUCACUUGUGAAAUCUCUGAGCUUAACUCAGAACGGCCAAGUGAUACUGCUGUGCUAGAGUGCGGAAGAGGCAACCGGAAUUCUUGGUGUAGCGGUGAAAUGCGUAGAUUUCAAGAGGAACACCUGAGGCGAAGGCGGGUUGCUGGGCCGACACUGACGCUGAUGCGCGAAAGCCAGGGGAGCAAACG